Molecule: small nucleolar RNA, 107 nt
Filed under: Gossypium hirsutum (cotton)
Lineage: Eukaryota; Viridiplantae; Streptophyta; Magnoliopsida; Malvales; Malvaceae
Description: Plant small nucleolar RNA R71
Rfam family: Plant small nucleolar RNA R71
About the family: R71 is a member of the C/D box family of snoRNAs containing the C (UGAUGA) and D (CUGA) box motifs. Multiple nearly identical copies of this snoRNA have been identified in Arabidopsis, and it is thought to function as a 2'-O-ribose methylation guide for 18S ribosomal RNA.
Source: Rfam by way of RNAcentral
AACCCAUGCUGAGGGCAUCUUUGCAAAUGGUCCUUAUAUCUCUCCCAUGCAUCGUAGAGUGUCUUUAAAUCCAUCUGCACAAAAGAAGAGAUAUCAUUACGUAAUUU